AGCGGGUUGUCUCGUUAUCUAUUUGCAAAAGCCAAAGGUCAGGAAUCUAUUGUUUCUAGGCGAAUAUAUCGCGAGACUCUAAAGAUAACUGAAAUUUACUUAGACAAGUUGCAAGUAUAGAUAAGGAACACAACAACCCACAAAUCUAAAGUCUGCUUGAAAACAGCGACUUACCGACAAAAUGAAAGUAUGUCUAGUCAUACAACAACA
This 210-nucleotide long non-coding RNA is filed under the name Brassica napus (rape). RNAcentral's name for it is "long non-coding RNA (BNAP_LNC015976)". Lineage: Eukaryota; Viridiplantae; Streptophyta; Magnoliopsida; Brassicales; Brassicaceae. The record is from RNAcentral.